UCUUACAUCAUGAUAAGGUUCUGCUUUGCUGGAUGCUGUCCUGCUGUCUACAGCUAAUGCUGUUUGUAACUGUCCAACAUCAGUGACGACUUUGUUUCUGCCGACAUGCAGCUGCAGACGCUGCUGCGAAGGUCGCUGCCCAACAACCCCUCCCUCUCCUGAUCCUUGUUCCCUCUCUCCAACUCUCUCUACCCUCUCUUCCUCUCUCUCCCUGUGCUUUAAACAUUUUCUACCUCACAGGAACGCAGACUCUGGCAGACGAAUGGUUCCACCUGUAGCCAUGGAGUCUGGUUUGGGCCUGAUGGCAGCCGUGCCGCCCAAACACUUUUUCCGCACAGUUCAGAUUUACUAACAGGUGAAAACAGGCGAAAGGACCAGGGGACUGGGCGAUCGUUAAGGAGUUCAGGAGGAAGCAUUGGGACUCCAAACGGUGGCGAAGCCCCUUCCAGGUCCUUCGACCCACACGGCUGAAAGAUCGCAGAGAGAGCGACUUGAAUCCACUCCAUCCAGGAAGGUCCCGGAUCCGACAGACGACCCUCCAUCCACAUCCCACGGAGAAAACCACCACUGACGAAAAGAAUUAAGAAGGACGUCCCUCGCUGUGCUCACACACGCACUGAGGCGAGGCUGCAUUGACCGUUCAGCUAAAGGUGUGAGCCAAGCGCCGCCUGAAGCUGCGCCGGUGAAUCACACUAUCAGACCAUACAUCUACACACACGCUCCUGAGAAAACACACACACGAGCAGCCUUGAGUUGCCGACGCUGGACGACGUGUAGACUCUUCACAUCACGGGAGUGACAGUGACUCAGACGACAUUGGGAGGAAACCUGGCGGUGAUAACGAAUCCCAAGUGUCUCUGUGAUCAGCUGAUCACAACCUGAAGAACUCCAACGAACUGGCAAUACAUCAACACACAGGUUGGAAACAAUCUAACGCUACUGUUCAACAGGAAGAAGCAGAUUGUUACGAGACAUCAAUUGUAAACAUGCUUUGUUAGACUUCAUUUUAUGUUACUUGGAUUGUUGCCUUUAUCAUAUGAUGUUUCUAUGUAACUUUACACAAUACUUUUGAAUGAGAAAAUUUCACAUAAUUCACAACACUGAGUUUAAAUAUCCUAAAGUUGAUUUGGUGUUUAAUUUGCUCACAAUCACUUAUUCACUGCUACAAUUAGUUUUUAUCCUUCAUCUACAGAUGACAGAGGUUAUGAGACAAAACGCAUCAUCAUUCUGGUUAAAUCCCUGAAUCUCCUAUUCGCUCUAGACGCAAAUGUACAAUUAAAGAUCCAAAAGCAUUAAAUCUAUCUUAAGAAUAUAUGAAACAGAACCCCAUCGGAAACCUAUGGCUAUCAUACAUUAAUUGUCUUUAUUACAUUACAAUUGAAUGGCCGUAGACAUGUUGUUAGCAGAGAAAAGAGGCGUUUGUGUUAUGUUUGGAGACGCAUGUUGUACUUACAUCCUGAAUAACACUGAUUCUAAUGGUAUUGUGGCGAAGGCGCUACACGGCCUUCAGAAUCUCAGCUAACUCUGGUAUAGAUUCUUCCUCUUGGAAUUGGCUAGACGAAAUGUCUGGAAAAUGGAAAUCUGUUCUCAUGUCCACAGCUGUUUCCUUUAUAAUUGAGAUGGCUGUGGUUCUCUUGUUUGGUUUUUGCGUUAUCCCACUGGUUAGAGGUCUCAUCAUGCGUGCGACCUCAGCAACACUCUCGUAUGAGAUGACACAAUGCACUAUGUUCAAAAACCCCAACUCUAAUUCACUUAAUGACUUUGACGAUGGUCUUAGGCCAUCGGAUCACGAAAUAUAAUCUGAUACGAAAAUGAUUAUGGGCUCAUUUUCUUCACAUGCCGAUACAAAAGUUAUUCUUGUAUAACUACCCACCAAAAACAGCUCCCAACCUUUUGUCCCUUAGUUACUUCCAUUUUAUGUGAAGGUGUAUUUUGAAUCUUGAUGAGUUAAUACCCUUAUUGUUUCAUUUGCAAGGAUCUUUUAUUAUUACAGAAUGUGAUGUUGACAAUUUUUAUUCCUUUAUGGUUUGAUUAAUGUGUAAUCAAAAGGGGGGAGUGUUAUGGCAAAAAUUGUCUCUUCCUUAUUUCUAUGUCUCUUCCUUAUUUUUAUGUGUCUUCCUUAUUUCUAUGCAUUUCUAUGCAGUUAUUAUACGAGUUAUGACUUAUGUUCUGCAAUUAAUAUCUUAUGUUUUGUCUUACUGUAUGCAUUUGACAUUUCACCUAGAUUGUUCAAUGGUUGUCUCUGCCUGAUAGACUCUCAACUCUAGCUCCCAAACCCAAGGUCGGGGAGUUGUGUCUCUGUCUGUUGAGACUUGGUGCUCCUUUCUCACAGAUAGUUGGACGUCAGCGAUGCAGGUGUGAGAAAGUAAAAAUCUUCACACACACUGCGACAGGGAGGAGAUGGUGCAUGUAAUUUGAUUGGGUUGGAAAGACAUUCCACCCUAGUCGGACAGAGAAGCUAAAAGGCAGAAGCAACUUGAGGAUCGUGGACUCUUUGCAUCACACCUUCGUGGUGUGUGCACUGAUCUCCUGUAAUGGAAAAAUUUUGCCUUGUGCUGUUUCUUAUCCAACACACUUGUCAUGUGCUGGUUAGGUGCAAUACUGAACAUUCUUACACAAACAAAUAAUCUCUUGUGCCCUGACGUACAUCAAGUCUAAACAUCUGAUGCUCCAUUUGACUGACUAAUAAUUUCUGAUAUAUGUUUGUCCUUUACACCCGGACUCUGGCUCCAUCCUAUCUGACUCCCCACCAGACCCAAGGCUGUUAAAGCAAAUGCAUCUUGUCUUGGAAGCUCGGUGUUCCUUCCUUUGGAUAACAAGACAUGACGAUGCAGAAGUGAGAAAGCAAACAUUCUCACUCACAGCGAGAUAAGGUGGCGCAAACAAUUCCAUUGCUGCAGAGAGACAUUCCACCAGAGCCAGAGAAAGGGGUUAAAAGGCAGAAGCAACUUGAGGAUCGUGGGCUCUUUGCAUCACACCUUCGUGGUGUGUGCACUGAUCUCCCCAGCUGGUUUUUGGUUUGUUGAUGUGCACGAUCAACAUCCAUGCUUUUUAUUUGCUUUCCCCAUUAUUUUUAUUUUCUUUAUUAUUUCAAUAAAUCGCACAAAAGGACAACUCUCUCUCAUCUACUUCUUUAUGGAAAAUUUCCACCACAGAAAUUGGCGUCUACGAACAGGAUCCCGCGGCAGGUCGUCUGGACGGUGUGACCAGGGACGAUAGUCCUGAGGACUAGGGUCGCUCAGCCUCCAAACCUCUACAGACAUUCAGAGCUGGGAGGACUGCUCACCCGUCUGGAUCGCCUCUGACGAGAUCCACGAACUCAGAUUCAAACUCAAAUCCUAAUUUGGCUCGGCUCGGUGAGAGAGAUUCCUUUGAUUUGGGAAAAACAAAAAGAUUGGAACUUUUAUUUUUAAUUUAGCUGAAACAUUUCAAUUGGUUGAAAAAAAAAGGGAAAGAAAUCUUCUAUUUGGUUGAAACACUAAAUUUGAAAAAGGAAAAUUAAUUAGAUCGAGAAAAAGAGAAAAAAAAAAAUCCCAAUAAUACAUGUUCUUAAUUAGGUGAAAGUCUGCUCUGGGUGGUGAGACGUCGGUUGCUAAGGGUUGGCUCGUGGAACCGAGCUUCCGUCUGUACUGAGGAUACAGACAUGUUUUUUUGAUCUGUGCGUGGUCCACACGUGGGGGACUGAGUAUAAAAGACGGCUUCUGAAAGAGGGAGCGCGUUUGCAGAGUGAAGUAUUUUCAAGAUACGAGGGACCCGGGCCUAGAGGGGCCUAACGUUGAGGAAAUACUUCGGGAAAGGCUCUGUCGCCAGAUCAGGUUGGUUCCCUUUUUACGGAGACGUCCGAUAAAAAGGCAUUUUGGGAAGGUUCCGGCCGGAACACACAAAAAAUCUAAGGCAGGAAACCGCCGGACUCUGAAAGACGGGUUCGGGGCAAUUUGAGUCUUCACCACCAGACAGAAACCGUACAAAACUAAACAACUGAGCGCGAUGAGGGUAAAUCCGGAUCUGGACUCCUUUCCCACCAUCAGCAGAAGAACCGAAGGAGAAGAAGCGCCCGACCAACAACCAGAACAGGGUGGAAGCUCUGACACCACAGCAGCUGGAGGACACAGACCACAGCAUGGACGCCUCAGCGACUCCCACAACGUCUGCAGCCAUCACGUUCUGGGAUCAUCAGAUGAACCAGCUACUACAAGCGUGUGUGUCUGACACAGACACCUGCUUAUGACAAUCAGCAAAGGAAAACAAGGACAGAGCAACAGCAGAGAAGACGUGCUCUGACACAGACACUGGUUGAAACAACAGGAGAGGCUUCAGACGUGAUCGGCCCAAUAGAGCUGCAUCCAAGCAUCCAGGAAAGGUCUGUCAUCGAGGAACAACUGUCCCAUUGAAAGGCUUCACCCGCUGGCGCUCACAUGAGACUGAUGGUUGGGGAAGGAGGAAGGUGACGGUUCCUUUUCACGUGAUGUACAAGACGGUACCGCAAACAUACACACACAUUCAUACAUGCAAUGAAGAAACACGCUUACAGCUGAUACACGCUCAAAUUCAUGUUCAUGCUUAUCUGCUCGCAAUGAAGAAUCGCUUUUUGCUCAAAAAAUCCCACAGAGUGAUUUUAAAAUGAUGACAAACAGCUAAAUGACAACUGCUGCAUGACUUUACAGUCUGAUGGGUUUAAACUAUUUUAACUUGCAACAAAUUCAGUAAUAAAAUCCUUCAUGUUUCUAAAAGGGUUUGUGCACAAUAUAGGUUUGUCUGGCCAGACUAUAGAAAAACAAAAUCAGACUAUAGAAAAACAAAACAGACUAUAGGAAGACUGAGACUGACUGAAACAGACUAUUAAUGACUAUUAAAGGGAAGACGACUAUUAGAGAGAAGUAAUAAUAAUUACUGUACGUACCAGACUAUUAAAGAAAAACUAAUUCUUUCACUGUCUUGUGCAACAUCUGACAGCAAGACACCUUAACAUUCAUUUUUGCUUUCAAACUUGUGCCCAGUUAAAUUUUUAGGAAGAGAUCUCAUGUAGUUUAGAUAUUUGAUUGAUUUCCACUCCAGACGGAGUGCAGGUUACGUCUACAGACAUUCUAAAUAAUCCCUCUUUUGUUGGUGUUAACUUCAGCUCAGCUGUGCUCUUAUCAUUGGCUGCUGAGGGGGGGCUGUAACUGAGGCCCUCACACAGGCUGCAUCACAGCUUGUUUAUGAUUUCACACACACACACACACUCAAACUGACCUCAACUUCCCUCUUUUGGGAUGAACACAGGUCUGCGCUUGCGAUUUCUCUUACUAACGAACAAAAAUAUUUUUGAUGUUUAUUUUACAGUUCCACAUGUCCCUCUGUGAAAACAUGAUGGAGACAGAUGACAGGACGUGGGUCCUUUCGUGAACAGAUGUCAACGGGGUGGAGACUGGUGAACGACUUCUGACCCCAUGUGACGUAUUCACCUACUUUGCAUAGUUUUAGAAAACUUAUUUUUAUUCUGCCUGUUAUGUGCAGCAAACAGUGAACUUGGUACCUCCACAUUCUAAUGACACACUACAUGCUUUUGUUUUUAUUUUUAUUUUUCAGAGGACGCUCUGACCCAACACUCAGCCUUACAGGAAGCCCUGCUUCCCUGUGGCUCACACACAGACAUGAUGUAGGUUCGAUCAGAGGAUGUGAACCAGUGGUCAUCACACCUAAAUCUGACCACAGACCAUGUAAACAACAACACCCUCUUAAAGGAGCCAUAGAUGGUGUUACUGCAGACACCACUAAGCUACAGAAACAUUGGAUGCUACAGGCCACAAAGAGAGCCUGUCUAAAUUACACUUUGUUCAGACAAAGGUUAUUUUCUGGGUCAUUGUAAUUACAGCUGAUGGCAAAUCCAUCUCACCCAACAGAGUUGAAGCAAUUUGAAACCUGCCUAAACCGUGCACGUAAAAACAGCUGAUAUCUUUUCUAGGUUUUUGUUCUUGUUGUAGGACUUUCGUUCCUAACUUUACUGUCUUUGAGGCCCCACUCAGGGUUCUGAUGCAGACGUCUUCAUCGUCCACUUCUUGUCUCACAUGGACGUCUGAGGCUGAACAACGUUCACCGACCUCAUGCUUGCUCUUCAGUCGGCUCCUACUUUGGGUCUUCCUGAUCUGACCCUACGCAACCUUUCACUCAAACAGUGAAUGAGAAAUCAGGUUGUACGACUUCUGUUCUUUUGUCCUCAUACUUUGAUUCUUUUGGAAUAGAUCACAUCUUUCUACAGCCCGAUGGCUUAGAUGCAACACCACCUUACUCAACAUGCUGAACAUUACUAUCAAGAGGCCGUCUUGAAGUCUGGCUCUUUGCUAAGACACUACUCUGCUCAGGCUGCAGAGUUGAUCACAUUGACUGAAGCUAGUAAACGAGCAGAAGGAGAGUCUGUUACCAUUUACACGGACUCCACAGACGCUCUGUGGAAGCAUAGGAAGCUUUUUUGAAGUCUAAUUGCAAACCUAUCUCACAUCAUGAUUAGGUUCUGCUUUGCUGGACGCUGUCCUGCCACCUACAGCUAAUGCUGUUUUUACAUCAUCAGUGACGACUUUGUUUCUGCCGACAUGCAGCUGCAGACGCUGCUGCGAAGGACGACAACCCCUCCCUCUCCUGAUCCUCGUUUCCUCUCCUCUUCCUUGUUCCCUCUCUCCAACUCUCUCUAUCCUUUCCUUCCUUUCUUCCUCUCUCCCUGUGCUUUAAACAUUUUCUACCUCGCAGGAACGCAGACUCUGACUGACGAAUGGUUCCACCUGUAGCCAUGGAGUCUGGUUUGGGCCUGAUGACACGCCGUGCCGCCCAAACACCUUUUCCCCAUAAUUCAGAUUUCCCAACAGGUGAAAGCAGGCGACAGGACCAUUACACCAUCCAACCAGGGCACUGGGUGAUCGUUAAGGAGUUCAGGAGGAAGCACUGGGACUCCAAACGGUGGCGAGGCCACUUCCAGGUCCUUCUGACGACCCACACGGCUGAAAGAUCGCAGUGAGAGUGACUUGGAUCCACUCCAUCCACUGCAGGAAGGUCCCGGAUCCAACAGACGACCCUCCAUCUACAUCUACACCACACAAGAAAACCACCACUGACGAAAAGAAUUGAGAAGAACGACCCUCGCUGUGCUCACACACGCACUGAGGCGAGGCUGCGUUGACCGUUCAGCUAAAGGUGUGAGCCAAGCGCCGCCUGAAGCUGCGCCGAUGAAUCACACUAUCAGACCAUACAUCUACACACACGUCCCUGAGAGAACACACACACGAGCAGCCUUGAGUUGCCGACGCUGGACAACGUGUAGACUCUUCACAUCACGGGAGUGACAGUGACUCAGACGACAUUGGGAGGAAACCUGGCGGUGAUAACGAACCCCAAGUGUCUCUGUGAUCAGCUGAUCACAACCUGAAGAACCCCAAUGAACUGUCAAUACUUCAACACACAGGUUGGAAACAAUCUAACGCUACUGUUCAACAGGACGAAGCAGAUUGUUACAAGACAUCAAUUGUAACCUCGUUGCGUUAGACAUUUUAUGUUACUCUGAUUAUUGCCUUGAUCAUAUGAUGUUUUCAUGUAACUUUGCACACUACUUUUGAAUGAGAAAAUUUCACAUAAUUCACAACACUGAGUUUAAAUAUCCUAAAGUUGACUUGGUGUUUAAUUUGCUCACAAUCACUUUAUUCACUGCUACAAUUAGUUUUAUCCUUCAUCUACAGAUGAAAGACAACACAAGCGGAAAAACGCAUCAUCAUUCUGGUUAAAUCCCUGAAUCUCGUAUUCGCUCUAGGCCCAAAUGUACAAUUAAAGAUCCGAAAGCAUGAAAUCUAUCUUAAGAAUAUAUGAUACAGAACCCCACCGGAAACCUAUGGCUAUCAUACAUUAAUUGUCUUUAUUACAUUACAAUUGAAUGGCCGUAGACACGUUGUUAGCAGAGGAAAGAGACGUUUGUGUUAUGUUUGGAGAGGCAUGUUGUACUUACAUCCUGAAUAACACUGAUUCUAAUGGUAUUGUGGCGAAGGCGCUCCACGACCUUCAGAAUCUCAGCUAACUCUGGUAUAGGUUCUUUCCCUUGGAAAUUGGCUAGACGAAAUGUCUGGAAAAUGGAAAUCUGUCCUCAUGUCCACAGCUGUUUCCUUUAUAAUUGAGAUGGCUGUGAUUCUCUUGUUUGGUUUUUGCGUUAUCCCACUGGUUAAAGGUCUCAUCAUGCGUGCGACCUCAGCAACACUCUCGUAUCAAAUGACACAAUGAACUAUGUUCAAAAACCCCAACUCUAAUUCACGUAAUGACUUUGACGAUGGCUAUCUGAUCACAAAAUAUAAUCUGGUACAAAUAUGA
This is a long non-coding RNA of Betta splendens (Siamese fighting fish), 8322 nucleotides long. RefSeq lists it as uncharacterized. The record is from RefSeq and is a predicted model, not a curated record. NCBI's taxonomy places the organism in Eukaryota, Metazoa, Chordata, Actinopteri, Anabantiformes, Osphronemidae. The transcript is spliced from 2 exons.